This 1380-nucleotide ribosomal RNA is filed under the name Salmonella enterica. RNAcentral describes it as "partial 23S ribosomal RNA". It matches the Rfam family "Bacterial large subunit ribosomal RNA", at positions 1581 to 2925 of the family's 2925-position model. The record is from RNAcentral. Lineage: Bacteria; Pseudomonadati; Pseudomonadota; Gammaproteobacteria; Enterobacterales; Enterobacteriaceae.
GGUGCUGAAGCAACAAAUGCCCUGCUUCCAGGAAAAGCCUCUAAGCCUCAGGUAACAUCAAAUCGUACCCCAAACCGACACAGGUGGUCAGGUAGAGAAUACCAAGGCGCUUGAGAGAACUCGGGUGAAGGAACUAGGCAAAAUGGUGCCGUAACUUCGGGAGAAGGCACGCUGACACGUAGGUGAAGUGGUUUACCCAUGGAGCUGAAGUCAGUCGAAGAUACCAGCUGGCUGCAACUGUUUAUUAAAAACACAGCACUGUGCAAACACGAAAGUGGACGUAUACGGUGUGACGCCUGCCCGGUGCCGGAAGGUUAAUUGAUGGGGUCAGCGCAAGCGAAGCUCCUGAUCGAAGCCCCGGUAAACGGCGGCCGUAACUAUAACGGUCCUAAGGUAGCGAAAUUCCUUGUCGGGUAAGUUCCGACCUGCACGAAUGGCGUAAUGAUGGCCAGGCUGUCUCCACCCGGGACUCAGUGAAAUUGAACUCGCUGUGAAGAUGCAGUGUACCCGCGGCAAGACGGAAAGACCCCGUGAACCUUUACUAUAGCUUGACACUGAACACUGGUCCUUGAUGUGCAGGAUAGGUGGGAGGCUUUGAAGUGUGGACGCCAGUCUGCAUGGAGCCGACCUUGAAAUACCACCCUUUAAUGGCUGGUGUUCUAACGUGGGCCCGUGAACCGGGUUGCGGACAGUGUCUGGUGGGUAGUUUGACUGGGGCGGUCUCCUCCUAAAGAGUAACGGAGGAGCACGAAGGUUGGCUAAUCCUGGUCGGACAUCAGGAGGUUAGUGCAAUGGCAUAAGCCAGCUUGACUGCGAGCGUGACGGCGCGAGCAGGUGCGAAAGCAGGUCAUAGUGAUCCGGUGGUUCUGAAUGGAAGGGCCAUCGCUCAACGGAUAAAAGGUACUCCGGGGAUAACAGGCUGAUACCGCCCAAGAGUUCAUAUCGACGGCGGUGUUUGGCACCUCGAUGUCGGCUCAUCACAUCCUGGGGCUGAAGUAGGUCCCAAGGGUAUGGCUGUUCGCCAUUUAAAGUGGUACGCGAGCUGGGUUUAGAACGUCGUGAGACAGUUCGGUCCCUAUCUGCCGUGGGCGCUGGAAGAUUGAGGGGGGCUGCUCCUAGUACGAGAGGACCGGAGUGGACGCAUCACUGGUGUUCGGGUUGUCAUGCCAAUGGCACUGCCCGGUAGCUACAUGCGGAAGAGAUAAGUGCUGAAAGCAUCUAAGCACGAAACUUGCCCCGAGAUGAAUCUUCCCUGAGCCUUUAAGGCUCCUGAAGGAACGUUGAAGACGACGACGUUGAUAGGCCGGGUGUGUAAGCGCAGCGAUGCGUUGAGCUAACCGGUACUAAUGAACCGUGAGGCUUAACCUUACAACGCCGAAG